Long non-coding RNA from Symphalangus syndactylus (siamang), 554 nucleotides. RefSeq lists it as uncharacterized. Lineage: Eukaryota; Metazoa; Chordata; Mammalia; Primates; Hylobatidae. The record is from RefSeq and is a predicted model, not a curated record.
UAGCAUGCUAGUCCAUUUAUAUAUAAAAUGGUUUACUUAGCAGUUCAUGAAUUUUCUAUUUUCAAUAAUGCAAUGAUGAACAUCUUUUAUGCACACUUGUUUUCUUCAUGUCUGAUCAUUUCCUCAGGCUCUGCAGAAGUGCUGUGGUCUGCUUUCAAGUUCUGAGCCUAGCUGCAUGCCAGAAUCACACCAUCUGAGGAUUAAUGAAUCAGCAUCUCCAAGAUUGGCAAAAGGGCUGCUAUCAAAGACAGGUAGAAUGACUCCUGUCUCUAGCUGCUUUCCUGGCACUUGAGCUAUGCAGUGAUAAUACAAGUUGGGAGGACUCAACAGAAGACAGGGUUGCCAGAUAAAAUAGAAGAUACCAGGCCGGGUGUGGUGGCUCACGCCUAUGAUCCCAGCAAUUUGGGAAGCUGAGGCAGGUGGAUCACUUGAGGUCUGGCCAACAUGGUGAAACCCCAUCUCUACUAAAAAUACAAAAGUGAGCUGGUCGUGGCGGCGUGCUCCUGUAAUCCCAGAUACUCAGUAGGCUGUGGCAUGAGAGUUGCUUGAACCUG